RNAcentral lists this ribosomal RNA (419 nucleotides) under Eumenotes obscura. RNAcentral describes it as "partial 16S ribosomal RNA". Lineage: Eukaryota; Metazoa; Arthropoda; Insecta; Hemiptera; Dinidoridae. The record is from RNAcentral.
UACAAAAACAUGUCCUAUUGAUAUAUUAAUAUUAGGUCAGGCCUGCCCACUGUAUUUUAAUAUAAAUGGCCGCAGUAAUUUGACUGUGCGAAGGUAGCAUAAUCAUUUGUUUAUUAAUUGUAAGCUAGAAUGAAUGGUUUAAUGAAAUAUUAUCUUUCUUUAUAUUAUUAUUAAUGAAUUUAAUAUUUAAGUUAAAAAGCUUAAAUAUUUUUAUAGGACGAGAAGACCCUAUAGAAUUUUAUUAUUUUAUAAUUAUUAUUUAUUUUGUUUGAUAUUAAGUUUUGAUUAUUAUAUUAAUUUUGUUGGGGCGACAUGGAAAUUUCAUUAACUUUCUGUAUUUAUUAUUUAUUGAUUUAUAUAUUUAAUGAUCCCUUAUUAUGGAUUUUAAGAUUAAAUUACCUUAGGGAUAACAGCGUAAU